AGUUACCAGCAUUGAGUUGGGGACUCUGGAGAGACUGCCGGUGACAACGGAGGAAGGUGGGAUGACGUCAAAUCAUCAUGCCCUUAUGACCUGGGCUACACACGUACUACAAUGGCGUAUACAACGGGAAGCGAAGUGGUGACACGGAGCAAAUCUCACAAAGUACGUCUCAGUUCAGAUUGAAGUCUGCAACUCGACUUCAUGAAGUCGGAAUCGCUAGUAAUCGCAGGUCAGCAUACUGCGGUGAAUACGUUCCCGGGCCUU
This 264-nucleotide ribosomal RNA is filed under the name uncultured Erysipelothrix sp. Its description in RNAcentral is "partial 16S ribosomal RNA". It matches the Rfam family "Bacterial small subunit ribosomal RNA", at positions 1113 to 1382 of the family's 1533-position model. Lineage: Bacteria; Bacillati; Bacillota; Erysipelotrichia; Erysipelotrichales; Erysipelotrichaceae. The record is from RNAcentral.